This 319-nucleotide ribosomal RNA is filed under the name uncultured bacterium. RNAcentral's name for it is "partial 16S ribosomal RNA". It matches the Rfam family "Bacterial small subunit ribosomal RNA", at positions 355 to 665 of the family's 1533-position model. The record is from RNAcentral.
UAGGGAAUCUUCCACAAUGGACGCAAGUCUGAUGGAGCAACGCCGCGUGAGUGAAGAAGGCUUUCGGGUCGUAAAACUCUGUUAUUGAAGAAGAACGUGUGUGACAGUAACUGGUCAUGCAGUGACGGUAUUCAAUCAGAAAGGUCACGGCUAACUACGUGCCAGCAGCCGCGGUAAUACGUAGGUGGCAAGCGUUGUCCGGAUUUAUUGGGCGUAAAGCGAGUGCAGGCGGUCUUUUAAGUCUGAUGUGAAAGCCUUCGGCUUAACCGAAGAAGGGCAUCGGAAACUGGGAGACUUGAGUGCAGAAGAGGAGAGUGGA